RNAcentral lists this ribosomal RNA (253 nucleotides) under uncultured bacterium. Its description in RNAcentral is "partial 16S ribosomal RNA". It matches the Rfam family "Bacterial small subunit ribosomal RNA", at positions 524 to 776 of the family's 1533-position model. The record is from RNAcentral.
GACAGAGGUCUCAAGCGUUAGGCGGAAUCACUGGGCUUAAAGCGUGUGUAGGCGGAUCGUUAAGUGCCUUGUGAAAUCCCACAGCUCAACUGUGGAACUGCUUGGCAUACUGGCGGUCUUGAGCCAUCUAGGGGUCGCUGGAACAAACGGUGGAGCGGUGAAAUGCGUAGAUAUCGUAAGGAAGACCAGUGGCGAAGGCGGGUCUCUGGACAGUUCCUGACGCUGAGGCACGAAGGUCAGGGGAGCAAACGGG